GACGAACGCUGGCGGCGUGCCUAAUACAUGCAAGUCGAGCGAAGUUUUUCUGUUGCUUGCACUAGAAAAACUUAGCGGCGAACGGGUGAGUAACACGUAAAGAACCUGCCUCAUAGACUGGGACAACUAUUGGAAACGAUAUCUAAUACCGGAUAACAGUAUUUCUCGCAUGAGAGAUAUUUAAAAGUUGGUUAUGCUAACACUAUGAGAUGGCUUUGCGGUGCAUUAGCUAGUUGGUGGGGUAAAGGCCCACCAAGGCGACGAUGAAUAGCCGACCUGAGAGGGUGUUCGGCCACACUGGGACUGAGACACGGCCCAGACUCCUACGGGAGGCAGCAGUAGGGAAUCUUCCGCAAUGGGCGAAAGCCUGACGGAGCAACGCCGCGUGAGUGAAGAAGGAUUUCGGUUCGUAAAGCUCUGUUGUUAGGGAAGAAUGGAUAUGUAGUAACUAUACAUGUAAGAGACGGUACCUAACCAGAAAGCCACGGCUAACUACGUG
RNAcentral lists this ribosomal RNA (499 nucleotides) under uncultured bacterium. Its description in RNAcentral is "partial 16S ribosomal RNA". It matches the Rfam family "Bacterial small subunit ribosomal RNA", at positions 28 to 507 of the family's 1533-position model. The record is from RNAcentral.